Molecule: long non-coding RNA, 720 nt
Organism: Oncorhynchus keta (chum salmon)
Lineage: Eukaryota; Metazoa; Chordata; Actinopteri; Salmoniformes; Salmonidae
Exons: 5
Source: RefSeq, a predicted model, not a curated record
GGUUAGAGCAUUGGACUAGUAACCAGCAGGUAGCCUAGUGGUUAGAGCGUUGGACUAGUAACCAGCAGGUAGCCUAGUGGUUAGAGCGUUGGACUAGUAACCAGCAGGUAGCCUAGUGGUUCGAGCGUUGGACUAGUAACCAGCAGGUAGCCUAGUGGUUAGAGCGUUGGACUAGUAACCAGCAGGUAGCCUAGUGGUUAGAGCGUUGGACUAGUAACCAGCAGGUAGCCUAGUGGUUAGAGCGUUGGACUAGUAACCAGCAGGUAGCCUAGUGGUUAGAGUGUUGGACUAGUAACCAGCAGGUAGCCUAGUGGUUCGAGCGUUGGACUAGUAACCAGCAGGUAGCCUAGUGGUUAGAGCGUUGGACUAGUAACCAGCAGGUAGCCUAGUGGUUAGAGCGUUGGACUAGUAACCAGCAGGUAGCCUAGUGGUUAGAGCGUUGGACUAGUAACCAGCAGGUAGCCUAGUGGUUAGAGUGUUGGACUAGUAACCAGCAGGUAGCCUAGUGGUCAGAGCGUUGGACUAGUAACCAGCAGGUAGCCUAGUGGUUAGAGCGUUGGACUAGUAACCAGCAGGUAGCCUAGUGGUUAGAGCGUUGGACUAGUAACCAGCAGGUAGCCUAGUGGUUAGAGCGUUGGACUAGUAACCAGCAGGUAGCCUAGUGGUUAGAGCGUUAGACUAGUAACCAGCAGGUAGCCUAGUGGUUAGAGCGUUGGACUA